AGGCAGCAGUGGGGAAUAUUGGACAAUGGGGGCAACCCUGAUCCAGCCAUGCCGCGUGUGUGAAGAAGGCCUUUUGGUUGUAAAGCACUUUAAGCAGGGAGGAGAGGCUAAUGGUUAAUACCCAUUAGAUUAGACGUUACCUGCAGAAUAAGCACCGGCUAACUCUGUGCCAGCAGCCGCGGUAAUACAGAGGGUGCGAGCGUUAAUCGGAAUUACUGGGCGUAAAGCGAGUGUAGGUGGCUCAUUAAGUCACAUGUGAAAUCCCCGGGCUUAACCUGGGAACUGCAUGUGAUACUGGUGGUGCUAGAAUAUGUGAGAGGGAAGUAGAAUUCCAGGUGUAGCGGUGAAAUGCGUAGAGAUCUGGAGGAAUACCGAUGGCGAAGGCAGCUUCCUGGCAUAAUAUUGACACUGAGAUUCGAAAGCGUGGGUAGCAAACAGGAUUAGAUACCCUGGUAGUCCACGCCGUAAACGAUGUCUACUAGCCGUUGGGGUCCUUGAGACUUUAGUGGCGCAGUUAACGCGAUAAGUAGACCGCCUGGGGAGUACGGCCGCAAGGUUAAAACUCAAAUGAAUUGACGGGGGCCCGCACAAGCGGUGGAGCAUGUGGUUUAAUUCGAUGCAACGCGAAGAACCUUAC
RNAcentral lists this ribosomal RNA (637 nucleotides) under uncultured Moraxella sp. RNAcentral's name for it is "bacterial SSU rRNA". It matches the Rfam family "Bacterial small subunit ribosomal RNA", at positions 346 to 974 of the family's 1533-position model. Lineage: Bacteria; Pseudomonadati; Pseudomonadota; Gammaproteobacteria; Moraxellales; Moraxellaceae. The record is from RNAcentral.